This 871-nucleotide ribosomal RNA is filed under the name uncultured crenarchaeote. Its description in RNAcentral is "bacterial SSU rRNA". It matches the Rfam family "Archaeal small subunit ribosomal RNA", at positions 1 to 879 of the family's 1478-position model. Lineage: Archaea; Thermoproteati; Thermoproteota. The record is from RNAcentral.
UUCCGGUUGAUCCUGCCAGACCUGACUGCUAUCGGAUUGAUACUAAGCCAUGCGAGUCAUUGUAGCAAUACAAGGCAUACGGCUCAGUAACGCGUAGUCAACCUACCCUAUGGACGGGAAUAACCUCGGGAAACUGAGAAUAAUACCCGAUAGAACAUUAUGCCUGGAAUGGUUUAUGUUUCAAAUAAUUUAUUGCCGUAGGAUGGGACUGCGGCCUAUCAGUUUGUUGGUGAGGUAAUGGCCCACCAAGACUAUUACAGGUACGGGCUCUGAGAGGAGUAGCCCGGAGAUGGGUACUGAGACACGGACCCAGGCCCUAUGGGGCGCAGCAGGCGAGAAAACUUUGCAAUGUGCGAAAGCACGACAAGGUUAAUCCGAGUGAUUUCUGCUAAAGGAAUCUUUUGUCAGUCCUAGAAACACUGUUGAAUAAGGGGUGGGCAAGUUCUGGUGUCAGCCGCCGCGGUAAAACCAGCACCUCAAGUGGUCAGGAUGAUUAUUGGGCCUAAAGCAUCCGUAGCCUGCUUUAUCAGUUUUCGGUUAAAUCCACACGCUCAACGUAUGGGCUGCCGGGAAUACUGUAAAGCUAGGGAGUGGGAGAGGUAGACGGUACUCGGGAGGAAGGGGUAAAAUCCUUUGAUCUCUCGAUGACCACCUGUGGCGAAGGCGGUCUACCAGAACACGUCCGACGGUGAGGGAUGAAAGCUGGGGGAGCAAACCGGAUUAGAUACCCGGGUAGUCCCAGCUGUAAACUAUGCAAACUCAGUGAUGCAUUGGCUUGAUGCCAAUGCAGUGUUGCAGGGAAGCCGUUAAGUUUGCCGCCUGGGAAGUACGUACGCAAGUAUGAAACUUAAAGGAAUUGGCGGGGGAGCAC